RNAcentral lists this long non-coding RNA (1146 nucleotides) under Oryctolagus cuniculus (rabbit). Its description in RNAcentral is "lncRNA (ENSOCUG00000030140.1)". The record is from RNAcentral. Lineage: Eukaryota; Metazoa; Chordata; Mammalia; Lagomorpha; Leporidae.
AAUCAACAGGGAGACGAGGUCCUUGGAUGUGGGGUGGCGAGGGGGCCGAAACGACAGGGACAGAGGUCGAGAGGGGCUUUUCCCGCCCCUGCCUUUCUUCCAAUAGCCUCAUCCCAGGGGGCAAAUGAGUGCCUCUGGAGUGUAACGGCCCUGCCUGAGGGGACAAAUCCCAGAGCCAUCUCCCCUAGUCAAGGGGCUCACAUCUACUCCCAGCCCCUGCCCUUCCUCCCGGAAGGCAAGGAGGCGCGCAUUGCAGCACCGAAUCCCGGGCAGGGGCUGGAUUCCGAGCCCUCCAGUAUUUGGACUCCAUUCUAUUUCCGAGUCCCCGCCCGGGUCAGGAGAAACAAAACGAAACAAAACACGUCUUCUUUGGAAGCAUGGCCAAGUGUCCCCUGCGCCCCCAAGGCCCAGAACGCAAGUGCAGCGCACUGCACCGACGGCUUCCCGGGCAGUACCUCCCAGGCGGCGCCGCUCGCUGGGGCCCUGGCCGAGGCUGAGCGCGGGGGACCCGGGGCAGAGCUGCGGAGAGGGGGCGCCCAGGGGCUUCGCGGUCCUCCAAGGACGCAGCAGGGCCAGGGCCCCUUCCCGGCUCAGACCCCUCGAGGCGCCUGCCCUCGGCCGCACUGGGGUGAAAGAAACGCUGUGCAGCCCUCGCCUCCCUGCUGGCGCUCGAGGAGCGGGCGGCGCUGCCCUGCAGGACAGCCGCGUCCCCCGGGUCGGACGGCGUGGGGGUGGCCGGCGUGCGAAGGGGCCGGCCUCCGAGGGUGCCGGUCUGUCCCAGCCUGGAGUCGCGGGAGGGCCCGAGAGAUAUGCCUCCAGCCCCCAGCCUCGCCCUUGGAAGAACCGGAGGCGAGGUAUCCCCCGCCCGGCCCGCGGAUGCCCCGCUGCCGCUGCGCCCGGGCGCGCGUGGACAGUAGGAGCCGGCAGGCGCCCGCAGCAGCAGCAGCAGCGGCGGCGGCAGCGGUAGAUUCCGCUUCCCCAAAGUGGCCCUCAGCGGCGAGGGAGCUCAGCGCUGCUCCCCCGCCCGCCUCAGCCCGGGCUGGGGAGGGCAGGGGGGAGGGGACGUCCCUCAGCGUGCAGAGGGCUGACGGGUUUGGCACGGACCAUCACCUCACGGAGGAGCCCGUCCCAGCCCGCUCUGUCUAG